This 798-nucleotide ribosomal RNA is filed under the name uncultured bacterium. RNAcentral describes it as "bacterial SSU rRNA". It matches the Rfam family "Bacterial small subunit ribosomal RNA", at positions 8 to 796 of the family's 1533-position model. The record is from RNAcentral.
AGAGUUUGAUCCUGGCUCAGAACGAACGCUGGCGGCGCGUCUUAAGCAUGCAAGUCGGACGGCAAGGGGGAGCAAUCCCCCCUAGAGUGGCGGACUGGUGAGUAACGCGUGGGUGACCUACCCUCUGGCCGGGGAUAGCCGUUAGAAAUAGCGGGUAAUACCGGAUGUGGUUAUCUUACUGUGGUGAGGUAAAGAAAGGAGCUUUGGCUCCGCCAGGGGAUGGGCCCGCGUCCCAUUAGCUAGUUGGUAAGGUAAAGGCUUACCAAGGCUCUGAUGGGUAGCCGGCCUGAGAGGGUGAACGGCCACAUUGGGACUGAGAUACGGCCCAAACUCCUACGGGAGGCAGCAGCUAAGAAUAUUCCGCAAUGGACGAAAGUCUGACGGAGCGACGCCGCGUGGAUGACGAAGGCCGGAAGGUUGUAAAAUCCUUUUGCCAACGAAGAAUAAGUGGGGGAGGGAAUGCCCCUAUGAUGACGUUAGUUGGUGAAUAAGCCCCGGCUAAUUACGUGCCAGCAGCCGCGGUAACACGUAAGGGGCGAGCGUUGUUCGGAAUUAUUGGGCGUAAAGGGCGCGUAGGCGGUUAUGUAAGUCUGGCGUGAAAGGCAGGGGCUUAACUCCUGGACUGCGUUAGAAACUGCAUGACUUGAGUCAUGGAGGGGGAGUUGGAAUUCCUGGUGUAGGGGUGAAAUCUGUAGAUAUCAGGAAGAACACCGGUGGCGAAGGCGAACUUCCAGCCGAUGACUGACGCUGAGGCGCGAAAGUGCGGGGAGCAAACAGGAUUAGAUACCCUAGUAGUCC